Molecule: ribosomal RNA, 227 nt
Filed under: uncultured bacterium
Lineage: Bacteria
Description: partial 16S ribosomal RNA
Rfam family: Bacterial small subunit ribosomal RNA
Source: RNAcentral
CAACGUGGGUAACCUGCCCAUCAGAGGGGGAUAACAUUCGGAAACGGAUGCUAAAACCGCAUAGGUCUUCGAACCGCAUGGUUUGAGAGGAAAAGAGGCGCAAGCUUCUGCUGAUGGAUGGACCCGCGGUGCAUUAGCUAGUUGGUGAGGUAACGGCUCACCAAGGCCGUGAUGCAUAGCCGACCUGAGAGGGUGAUCGGCCACAUUGGGACUGAGACACGGCCCAA